Molecule: ribosomal RNA, 497 nt
Filed under: uncultured bacterium
Lineage: Bacteria
Description: partial 16S ribosomal RNA
Rfam family: Bacterial small subunit ribosomal RNA
Source: RNAcentral
GAUGAACGCUGGCGGCGUGCCUAAUACAUGCAAGUCGAGCGAACGGACGAGAAGCUUGCUUCUCUGAUGUUAGCGGCGGACGGGUGAGUAACACGUGUAUAACCUACCUAUAAGACUGGGAUAACUUCGGGAAACCGGAGCUAAUACCGGAUAAUAUUUUGAACCGCAUGGUUCAAAAGUGAAAGACGGUCUUGCUGUCACUUAUAGAUGGAUCCGCGCUGCAUUAGCUAGUUGGUAAGGUAACGGCUUACCAAGGCAACGAUGCAUAGACGACCUGAGAGGGUGAUCGGCCACACUGGAACUGAGACACGGUCCAGACUCCUAAGGGAGGCCGCAGUAGGGAAUGUUACGCAAUGGGCGAAAGCAUGACGGAGCGACGCCGCGUGAGUGAUGAAGGUCUUCGGAUCGUAAAACUCUGUUAUUAGGGAAGAACAUAUGUGUAAGUAACUGUGCACAUCUUGACGGUACCUAAUCAGAAAGCCACGGCUAACUACGUG